Molecule: ribosomal RNA, 468 nt
Filed under: uncultured bacterium
Lineage: Bacteria
Description: partial 16S ribosomal RNA
Rfam family: Bacterial small subunit ribosomal RNA
Source: RNAcentral
GACGAACGCUGGCGGCGUGCUUAACACAUGCAAGUCGAACGGAAAGGCCCUGCUUUUGUGGGGUGCUCGAGUGGCGAACGGGUGAGUAACACGUGAGUAACCUGCCCUUGACUUUGGGAUAACUUCAGGAAACUGCGGCUAAUACCGGAUAGGAGCUCCUGCUGCAUGGUGGGGGUUGGAAAGUUUCGGCGGUUGGGGAUGGACUCGCGGCUUAUCAGCUUGUUGGUGGGGUAGUGGCUUACCAAGCCUUUGACGGGUAGCCGGCCUGAGAGGGUGACCGGCCACAUUGGGACUGAGAUACGGCCCAGACUCCUACGGGAGGCAGCAGUGGGGAAUAUUGCACAAUGGGCGGAAGCCUGAUGCAGCAACGCCGCGUGCGGGAUGACGGCCUUCGGGUUGUAAACCGCUUUCGCCUGUAACGAAGCGUGAGUGACGGUAAUGGGUAAAGAAGCACCGGCUAACUACGUG